AUCCCACCACCUGGAGAAAACCACAGGAACCCUUUAUAGGAUAGCUUCUCAUUCUUUCUGUGCAAAAAUAUAAAUAUUUUAGUAUUUUAUAAACAUAUGAUUAUAACCUCCAUGUUGUUUUUUAACUUGUUUUUUAAAAUUGUAAUCAACAAUAUAUUGUGAGCAUUAUACAAAUAUAUUUUCACCUAUGACAUCAUUUUAAAUGAAUGAAUAGAAUUACAUUCUACAGAUAUAUUAUAAUUUUUUUUGAUAUAUUAUAAUUUACUUAAACAAUUACCUCAUUACCAGGCAAGACUUUGAAAUCUAUUGCUAUAUUCUUUUUUUUUUUUAUUGCUAUAUUCUAAUAACCAGUUGGAAACUUCUAUUUCAGAUAAAUACAUUUUGGCUCUCUCAGCCUGCCGGACCCCUGGCAUGAAUCAAGGAGAAGUAGCUCAGGAGACUGCUAGCAAGCUCUGCCUCUCUGGAGGGAGGCAGAGUGGAAAUGCCCCGCAGCUCUGGCUCCUGGGCGGCUCACGGCAGGCACAGGUGAGGCCUGGGAUCUGGACGGCUGGCGAUGGUGUGGUGGAGGAGAGCCCUGGGUGCAGGUGAGUGUCUGGACCCAUAGGACUUCUUCCCACGGGAACAAAGAAGCCC
This 633-nucleotide long non-coding RNA is filed under the name Canis lupus familiaris (dog). RNAcentral's name for it is "lncRNA (ENSCAFG00000059298.1)". Lineage: Eukaryota; Metazoa; Chordata; Mammalia; Carnivora; Canidae. The record is from RNAcentral.